Molecule: ribosomal RNA, 366 nt
Filed under: Triticum aestivum (bread wheat)
Lineage: Eukaryota; Viridiplantae; Streptophyta; Magnoliopsida; Poales; Poaceae
Description: partial small subunit ribosomal RNA
Source: RNAcentral
AUGAGACCCAAAGACAUAGCGCCAAAUAUUUUUGCGAUCUCUACAAGAAAAAACCACACUGUACAAAAGGCAUUACAUAAUAGCUCGUGGAUAUCCAGAGUGGACAUUGGUGGGAACCUUGCUGUGAACGACAUAGCAGAGUUCGUCAAUCUUUGGACUAAGCUAUCAUGCGUUCAACUCAACCCCGGUGUAGCCGAUUCGAUUUCCUGGAAGCUCACCAAUGAUGGCCAAUAUUCGGCAGCGACGGCAUACCGUGCACAAUUUCUUGGCCAUAUCGACUCUGAUAUGCCUCUUUUGGUGUGGAAGAAUUGGGCUCCUCCCAAAUGCAAUUUUUUUGCUUCGUUGGCCACCAGCAAUAGGAUUUGA